Molecule: non-coding RNA, 801 nt
Organism: Peromyscus maniculatus bairdii (prairie deer mouse)
Lineage: Eukaryota; Metazoa; Chordata; Mammalia; Rodentia; Cricetidae
Source: RefSeq, a predicted model, not a curated record
CCUAGGAGGUCCCACAGAUCUGUGUCUUGCUUCAACAACGUUUGGAUGGAACAGAGCUGGGGACUCCCUCUUUCUUAGCUUCUAGCAACCUUUUAGUCUCUCUAGUUGCUUUGGCUCCUAGGACCAGCCAGCACCAUCUCUUUGUGGUUAGCUCCAUGUUUCGGAUCAGCCAUGACCUCCUAGAUUCAUCAGAAUUACCCCACCAAAGUGCAAGCUGCCGUAAACUGCCUGGUCAACUUGUACCUGCGGGUCUCCUACACCUACCUCUCUCUGGGCUAUUUUGAUCGGGAUGAUGUGGCUCUGGAGGGUGUUGGCCACUUCUUCCCAAACUGGCCAAGGAGAAGCAUGAGGGCACCUCCUCAAGUUGCAGAACAAUCACGGAGGUGCACUUUUCCAGGCUGUGCAGCAGUCAUCUCAAGAUGAGUGGGGUAAAACCCAGGAGGCCAUGGAAGCUGCCUUGGCCCUGGAGAAGAACCUGUGCCAGGCCCCCUGGGGUCUUCAUUUCCUGGGUUCCGCCCACACAGACCCUCACCUUGUAACUUGUUGGAAAACCACUUCCUGGGAGGAGAUGAGAAGAUGGGCAAGCACCUGACCAACCUCUGUAGGACUGGCUGGGCCACAGCCAGCACAGACUGGCAUGCCACAGCCAUGUCUGGGCAGGUAUUUCUUUGAGCAGCUCCCUGUCAAGCAUGACUAGGAGACCUCCCCUUCCAAGUGGGCUCUCUCCUCUGCGCAGCACCAGCCAGACUCAGGACCUCCACCUGAACCUUUCAAGCCAGUAGGCAGCUUGUAACCACCCUG